UUUUUUUUUUUUUUUUUUUUUAAGAUUUUAUUUAUUUAUUCAUGAAAGAUGCACACAGAGAGAGAGAGGCCGAGACACCAGCAGGCUCCAUGCAGGGAGCCUGACAUGGGACUCGAUCCCGGGUCUCCAGGAUCAGGCCCUGGGCUGAAGGUGGUGCUAAACCACUGAGCCACUCGGGCUGCCCACUCCUUGCUAUUCUAUAGAGAAAAAAUGAGUUAUUUCUUUGGUGUGUGGUGACUUACACUUGGGUAAAGUUUACCUCCCUCAUCUUUGUGUGUUUUUGCCUCCAUGAGAUAACAUGGUGGUGAAGGGUACCUUAGCUAUAGUUGAUGCUGUCAGUACUUUGCUCACCUGUGUUCCCUCAGCCUUUCUCGAGGUCACUUGUGGACAGUUUGCAGACUGAUAUCUUCCUGUAUCUGAGACUGUUCUUUGUCUAUGGGAGACUGAUAAGCCAUGCUCAAGGCAGGACAAAAGUGUCAGGAAGGUGGCCCAAAUUGGUUAGUAAAUGCGGCUGAGUUUUGUAGAUAAAUACCCUGACUUUCCUUGUCCCUCAGAGCUGAAUCUUUUUUCUUCUUCUUUUUUUUUUUUUUAAGAUUUUUAUUUAUUUAUUUUACAGAGAGAGCUCAAAUGUGCAUGGCGGGGGGGCAGAGGGAGAGAAUCCCCAAGCAGACUCCCGCUGAAGGAGGAGCCCACCUGCGGGGCUCCAUCUCAAGACGCUGAGAUCAGGACUUGUGCCAAAACUAAGAGUUGGACGCUCAACUGACUGAGCCACCCAGGCUUCCCCAUCCCCGAGCUGAUUCUGAGAUGUAUUCCACAUACUCUGUCUCAGAAGUUCCCUGGUAAGACCAAAUCCUAGUCAUUUGCCCUAAUAACCUGGCCAUUUACUGGGUUUCUUCCCUUCCCUGUCUCACUGUCCACCCCUCUUCUUCACCUUGUUUCCUGGGAAUCCCCUCCCAAAUAAACUAGAUGUACCCAAAUCCUCAUCUCAGAGGCUGCUUUUAGGAGGGACUCUAGGCAAUGACAGGCACAGAUUCUAGAGCAGGAUUGCCUUGUGGCAGAUUUUAGCUCUAUUACUAAUGGUUUUUCACUUACAGAAAUGAUUAGACAUUUUGUAACUUCAAUCUCUUCAUCUGGAGAAAAGGUAUAAUGGUAAUAGUUGUAGGAUGUUUUGUGACGCUUAACUGAAAUAAUAUGUAUCAAGCAUUUAGCACAAUGUCCACCACCUUGUAACUUUGCAACAGAAUUAACUUUCAUUAUUGUUAGUAUUAAUGUUGGUUUACUUCAGAUCCAUCUCCAAAUAGAUGGCAUGAACAGCCAUGAACAGCUACAGGCUUUAAACAUUCUGAUAGCUUUCUUGCACCUGCAUACACUCUUGGAGCUUAAAACUCAAAGUUUCUAAUGACCUAAAAGUUAUAGACAUGAGUAAAUGGAGGACACAUGUAGAUUUUGAGAAAGGGCUAAGCUAGUGGGGUAAAAAACCAGACUCCCCAUGCUUUAGUGAGUAGUCUGAUGUGGGCACCGAGCGAGGACAUUGUGAGAGACAAGUGGAUUAACAUUGAAGUUCAUGUUCCUGACACAUUAAGAUGAUAAACAAAUUGUCUUCUCUGCUAAAAGUUUGAAAAAUUCAGUCUUCUGUGCCCUCUACUUCAGUGUAACAGUAUAUCAAGAAGGAAUAUUCUAACAAGCAUUUGUUGGAUGCUUCUUGUGUCCCAAGCUCUCUGUUUGAUACUCAGUAAUUAAGACAUAAAACUUGGUCCCUGGCUUCAAGUGUGGUAGGGGAGACAGACAUAUAGACAGAUAAAUUACAGUACAAAGUACUGUGGCUGUCCCAGGAAGAGAGGAGAGUUCCUUUGGGAUAAGUCAGGGAAGAAGGAAGGGAACUUUUAUAUGCUUUAGUCUGCGCUGGGGGUGCUUUGAAAAUGAGGAGACUGAAGCUCACAACAACACGUGUAGGUUAACUGAAGCAUACAGCUACUAAGCAGGGAACCAGCAUUUGAACAAGUUUUCCUUCUUCAGGUUAUCUUCCAUCACGCCAGGCUGUAUUGGUGAGGGGUGGAAAAUCACUGUGAGCUGUACUCUAUGAGUAUGCCACCCUUGAUCACAAGAAAACCUAAUGGUUUUCUUAGUACAUGGUCUUAAAGUUUCUGGGUGUGUGGCACUUAACAUUUUGUUUAUUGAACAGGAAACAAUAUGAAGUUGGGGUGAUUCUUACAUCUAUAAUUUAAGUAGAAAGAGAAAAAGAGAUGUGGUAUCUGGACGACCUGCUAUUUAAAAUAAUAAUAAGUAGAACAUUUGGUUUUCCUAAGCAAGAUCAAGAGCAUUAGGUGGAGGAAUUGUGAUCAGGAGUAAUGUACACAGAGUUAUUUAUAUCUUUUGCUCUCUCAUUGAUUCACAACUUGAAAUUGUCUCUUUUUUUUCCCUUUAGUUGACCUCCACAGUAAGGCAAAAUUAAUCAACCCUUGUGAUUGAUCAGAUUGUUUGAGUAUAGAAAUAAUGAGGUUUUAUUUUAAAAAGUCAAGAGAUUGAGAUUGUAAAGCAGGAUUUGGGAGCAGGCUGUUGGUGGAAGAAGCAAUGUAAAAAAUCAAUACAAUAGCAUCUGAUGUUUACAAUAUUAGUUAGCAUCCUAGCUGAAAUAAGUAAUGGCCUCUGCCCUUAAAAGAUCAAAUAAGAGAUAAGAAACUCAGAAAAAAAAACAAAUUUAUAUACAAUAAUCAUGGAACUUUGUGACAUUAGUAAAGAAAAUGAAUGGAUUAAUCAGAGAUGAAGUGAGGACAAGAAGCCACCACUUACUGGACACAUGCUGAAGGCUUUUGUGCUAUAGAUAUAAAUACUCCCAUUUCACAGAUGAGGACCUUGAGAAGCAGAUAUGUAGGGUUAAAUUAAGUACCUUAGCUCAAGGGACAAAAGCAGAACCACACCUCAUGUUUAGGACUCAAUGCUGAGAAAACUGUUCUCUCCACUGCAGACCAUCUUGUUGGAUGGAAACAUCCCAAAGGAGCUGGUCACAGUUCCAUAGAGGAGCAGAAUGUAAUGUGGCAAUUAAGUAAUGGGAUAUUGUCUCAAGAACACUGAAGUUCACAAAUUCUUGGAAGCGGAAGAAUAUUGGGAUCUAGGAAGGCAAGGAAACCAUUGGGUAGAAGGAAGAGUAUGAGCUUGGGAAUGAGGGAGAAAUAGGAGGAAGUAAUCAGGCUCUGUGGUGCUGGCUAGUUGGAGGAGUUCAUGGUGAGCCUAUGGUUCAGAUUGAAUUCAGUGAUGCUUUGGAACUAUUUGAGUCAGGUGCUAGAGAACUAAAGUAAGUAAAGGCAACCUUCCAGCCUAUAGAAGAUAGCAAUUGAGUGCUUUACAUUUUAGCUUUAGGCCUUUCUGAAAAGUGGUCUGAUUUUUGUGUUUGAUCUGUAAGAGUCUCAAAGGAUGAGGUAGGAAAAAUGGCAUUAUUGAAGCAGUAGAUACAGAAUCAGAGUCUGAUUCCAAGGGAUAAAAGAUUCUGAGAUCCAGAUAAUACAACUUCCGUAAAACAAAUGCUAUGGUAAUAUAGAUGUAAGGCAGCUGGGAGGUGGACAGGGGUCUUGAAUUAGGAAAAAGGAGUCAACAUGCUUGUGAAGAAUGUUUGGAAGUGGGAAGUGGUUGAGAUUGUAAAGCAAUCUCAACGUUGGACUUGGCAACGUAGGUGUGACCAAAAAAGUCAAGCAUAGAGCAAAUACUAUUAAUUCUUAACCUUGAGCCGUAUCUUUUUAGUAAUUAGGAGAAUAGAAGGGUAUUUUUUUGACAUAUUACUUCCAGUCUUAUAUUUUCUUAUUGUUAAAUGAGGUGGAAGCCAAUAUGAGGAGGAGCUCAGUGCAGUUAAAAGUCUUGCACUUAUAUGUGAAAGUCAAAAUCCUUGAAGUUUGCUGAAUUGUAUAAUAUGAGAUACCAACCCAAAAUCUAGGCGUGGGGCAGAAAAGGUAGCCUGCAAGCAGUGUCAGUGUGUGCAAUAUGUGAUGUAAAUUAUUCAUGAUUUCAAUUAUUGGUUUCUCUCUGUGAUCCAAUGAUGCUCAGCGCAUAUGUCCAUUAUAGCAGGUUUACCUUUGUUCUGAAGAGGUGGAGUUACUUUUCUGUCUCUACCAAUGAUGUCUUCCUUUUUGAUUUCUUGGUACUUAAAACAGGAUGUGGCUUAUAGUUUAAAGUCAAUAAAUAUUUGAAUGAAGGAAUGCCCCAAAGAAUAAAGAGUAGACUCUUUUCCUUUAUAAUAUUAUUAUAUUUUAUGAAGCAGGUAUAAAUAAAUAUAAACCAUGCUAAUGAAGCACUUUGGCAAUUCCCUAUAAAUUUGCUGUAAUAGAAUAUGCCUAAAAGACUCAACAGGCUUCUUUGUUUCACUCUGGCUAAUGGACCUUUAGUCUUUGACAUUUUUUGAGCAUUUGCUUUAUGGCGGGCAGUGUGCUAAGCAUUAGGGAUUGUCUUCACCUGCUUUAAAACACCGUUGAUAUGGAAACGUAUUUGUUGAAACAUACAGAAGCCUGUGGUAUAAGGCAAUUGGUCGUUUUAUUGUCUCAAAUGUAGUGGCACUGUUACUUGAGCUUACUUCAGUUGGGUCUUAUAAAUCAAGUGUUAUCCAAGAAGAGAACACAGGAGGGCACCAAAGAACAAGAAACCAAACCAAACCAAACCCUGACGUGCUGGUUCUGGAAUUGAGGCCUUGCUAAAUAUAUGAUUACUCUGCAGUCUGUUUCUAGCUUCAGCGGAUGCUGGAGUAAGAAAACACGUGUAAAGAGAACUCAAAGAAUGGCCUUGCCCACAUGAUGCUCUAAAGCAUUUAAAGUCUCCCCCUAAAAAAAUAAAAAA
Molecule: long non-coding RNA, 4818 nt
Filed under: Canis lupus familiaris (dog)
Lineage: Eukaryota; Metazoa; Chordata; Mammalia; Carnivora; Canidae
Description: lncRNA (ENSCAFG00000058400.1)
Source: RNAcentral